UGGGGAAUAUUGGACAAUGGGCGAAAGCCUGAUCCAGCCAUGCCGCGUGUGUGAAGAAGGCCCUAGGGUUGUAAAGCACUUUAAGCAGGAAAGAAAAGCGCCGGGUUAAUAACCCGAGCGUGUUGACGGUACCUGCAGAAUAAGCACCGGCUAACUUCGUGCCAGCAGCCGCGGUAAUACGAAGGGUGCAAGCGUUAAUCGGAAUUACUGGGCGUAAAGCGAGUGUAGGCGGUUUCGUGUGUCGGAUGUGAAAGCCCUGGGCUCAACCUGGGAAUUGCAUUCGAAACUGCGGAACUAGAAUAUGGUAGAGGAAGACGGAAUUCCACGUGUAGCGGUGAAAUGCGUAGAUAUGUGGAGGAACACCAAUGGCGAAGGCAGUCUUCUGGGCCAAUAUUGACGCUGAGGCUCGAAAGCGUGGGUAGCAAACAGGAUUAGAUACCCUGGUAGUCCACGCCGUAAACGAUGAGAACUAGACGUUGGUUGACAUAGUCGAUCAGUGUCGCAGCUAACGCGUUAAGUUCUCCGCCUGGGGAGUACGGUCGCAAGACUA
This 550-nucleotide ribosomal RNA is filed under the name uncultured bacterium. Its description in RNAcentral is "bacterial SSU rRNA". It matches the Rfam family "Bacterial small subunit ribosomal RNA", at positions 355 to 896 of the family's 1533-position model. The record is from RNAcentral.